Eurytemora carolleeae is the source of this 341-nucleotide long non-coding RNA. RefSeq lists it as uncharacterized. Lineage: Eukaryota; Metazoa; Arthropoda; Copepoda; Calanoida; Temoridae. The transcript has 3 exons. The record is from RefSeq and is a predicted model, not a curated record.
AUGAUGAUGAUGAUGAUGAUUUAGGAUCCACUAUGUCGAGUAUCUCUGUGAGAAGAUUGUGGAAAACAAACUUGAAGUUGUCUCACUACUGGAAUUAGGAGAGGUGAAGGCAGUAUUUUCACGAGCUGGUAAAUUUCUGCCUAAACAGCGGCCUGGAGAAUAUGAAUUCCAGUAUCUUAGACGACUUAUACAGGUUGUACAGGAAGAAAUCCCUCUCGAAACAGCGUGAUUGGAUAUUAAGAACCCUCCAAGUUGUUCCAUCAGAAGUUCCCCAAAAUUUGAUAUUUACAAGUCUUGAAGCCCUUGUUAUUUUAAUUUUUACCGAUUUGUUAAUUUAAAUA